Molecule: microRNA precursor, 113 nt
Filed under: Drosophila guanche
Lineage: Eukaryota; Metazoa; Arthropoda; Insecta; Diptera; Drosophilidae
Source: RNAcentral
UCACAGAGGGAGAGAGAGAGAGAGAGAGAGCGACAUGGACAUGGAUUACGUGCUUAGGAUAUGCUUGUUACUCGCUCUCUACUCCCUCUCUCUAUCUCUCUCCUUCUCUCUCU